AUGCGGAGGAGCGCCCAUCCAGGCUGCCGGUGCCCCUGGCCACUGGAUCCCUCCCCCGGCGUCGUCGUUCGAGGCACCGCCGCGGCGCCGUCCCGCUUCUGCCGCCGCGGCCAUCUCCACGACGAUGUGGCAGACCUCCUCUCGGAGCUCCACGUUGAAGGCUGGGCCGAGCUGCCGCUGCCUGGGUCCCCCGUGUGCGCUGCCCGCAUCCUGUUCACUGCCGCAGUGCUGCCAUCGGCGUGCUUCGCGCUACCCUCCACCACACUCCCGGUUGGCACCAUGCCGCCGAUGAUGAUCCCAUGGUGA
RNAcentral lists this ribosomal RNA (306 nucleotides) under Triticum aestivum (bread wheat). Its description in RNAcentral is "partial small subunit ribosomal RNA". The record is from RNAcentral. Lineage: Eukaryota; Viridiplantae; Streptophyta; Magnoliopsida; Poales; Poaceae.